Molecule: long non-coding RNA, 292 nt
Filed under: Salmo salar (Atlantic salmon)
Lineage: Eukaryota; Metazoa; Chordata; Actinopteri; Salmoniformes; Salmonidae
Description: lncRNA (ENSSSAG00000114669.1)
Source: RNAcentral
CUGCUUGUGACACGGCUCCUCUUCAAGCUGAGAACAAAGAUCUGCUGGAGUCUCUCCUCAACUGCAGGGGAGCCACCAAGGGGAGCUCUGGGGCAGCAGUACAAUGAGGCCUCCCUGCAUGCCCUGCUCUACUCCUGGCCCACCCCGCUCCUCCAGGCCCUCAGGCCCCUCGCCCAACACAGUGACCCCAGGGUGAGGAUUGCUGGGUACAUGAUCUCCAGGCUUCCCCUGCCUGGAUCCCCCGCCCCUAGAUCUCCUCGUAGGUGCCAGACCAGGAUGAGGCAUGCCUCCC